AUCACGGGGAAUUGAGAAAGCCCAGGAAAGCUAUUGCAUUAGCUCCAACAUUUAGAAUCACUGACACGAGCAGAGAGAAGAAAGGAGUUUCACACGAGAUUGGAAGAGAAACAUCAAGCUUUAGAAGCUGAGAGAAUUUAAUGGGAAGCAAGGACAAAGGAAGAAUGUGAAGCAGCAGUAAAGCAG
This is a long non-coding RNA of Ipomoea nil (Japanese morning glory), 186 nucleotides long. RefSeq lists it as uncharacterized. The record is from RefSeq and is a predicted model, not a curated record. Lineage: Eukaryota; Viridiplantae; Streptophyta; Magnoliopsida; Solanales; Convolvulaceae. The transcript has 3 exons.